RNAcentral lists this ribosomal RNA (1050 nucleotides) under uncultured eukaryote. RNAcentral's name for it is "bacterial SSU rRNA". It matches the Rfam family "Eukaryotic small subunit ribosomal RNA", at positions 577 to 1653 of the family's 1831-position model. The record is from RNAcentral.
CGGUAAUUCCAGCUCCAACAGUGUAUAUUAACACUGCUGCAGUUGAAACGCUCGUAGUUGGGAAUUUGUUGUAUAAUAUUGGUCUAUCCUAGAGGUCAGUACUUUAUAUGAAUGCAGCAUCGUCUUGAUUAUCUUUCUACACUUAACUGUGUAUUUUGUUGAAUCAAUCCGUAUACUUUGAAGAAAUGAGAGUGUUUCAAGCAACUUUAUUUAAGGAUAUAUUAGCAUGGAAUAACACAUUACGACCUCAUAUUGUGUCUGUUGGUUGCCGAGAUCGGGUAACAAGGAGGAGGAUAAUUGGUGGUAUUUAUAUUGCACAGUCAGAGGUGAAAUUCUUGGAUUUUUGCAAGAUGAUCGAUUGCGAAAGCAUUUGUCAAGAGUGUUUUUAUUGAUCAAGAACGUAAGUUAAGGGAUCGAAGACGAUCAGAUACCGUUGUAGUCUUAACCGUAAACCAUGUCGCCUAGAAAUUGGCGGGUAUAUAUUAUCAUCCCGUCAGCAACUUGAGAGAAAUCACAGUUUUUGGAUUCCGGGGGGAGUAUGAUCACAAGAUUGAAACUUAAAGGAAUUGACGGAAAGGCACCACCAGGGGUGGAGCGUGCGGCUUAAUUCGACUCAACACUGGAAAAUUUAUCAGGUCCAAACAUAGAAACGAUUGACAGAUUGAUUGUCUUUUCUUAAUUCUGUGGGGUGGUGGUGCAUGUCCGUUCUUAGUUGGUGGAGUGAUUUGUCUGGUUAAUUUCGAUAACGAUCGAGAUCUUGACCUGCUAAAUCGAUGCAAGAUGUAUAUAUAAUCGUGUUAUCUUAUUAGACGAAACAUUUGAGCAAAGCAGAAGGAAGAUUAAGGUCAUAUCAGGUCUGUGAUGACAUUUGAUGUCUUGAGCUGCCCGCGCGCUGCACCGAAUCACUUCGCAAGGAUUCCAUCUGGUAUGAAAGGAGUGUGAAAUCUUAUGCCCUUCGCCUCGUGAUGGGGCCUGUUCAUUGUAAUUACUGAACCGUAGGCGAGGAAUGCAUAGUAAGUUCAUCUCUUCAAUCUGUUUGAGUUAAGUCCC